ACCCUACUGUAUUGUUGAAUAAAAAUGUAAGUUGCACAGAGUGUGUGAAAUUUACUCCAUCUAUAUUAAUUUUUUAAAACCAUCAAAUGAUAUUAUGUAUUAUGUAUGGAUACUUACAUGUGUGGCAAAAAUGUGAAAACAUGAUAAACCCUAAAUUCAUGAGAGUACUUACUCUUAAGAGGCAGAGAAGAGAAUGGGAUUGUGGGAGUAUGCAGAUUAUAUUUAACCAUUUGUUCAAGUUAUUUUGAAACCUUCAGUAGGGUAUUCA
This 268-nucleotide long non-coding RNA is filed under the name Pan troglodytes (chimpanzee). RNAcentral's name for it is "long non-coding RNA NONPTRT014762". The record is from RNAcentral. Lineage: Eukaryota; Metazoa; Chordata; Mammalia; Primates; Hominidae.